This 406-nucleotide ribosomal RNA is filed under the name uncultured bacterium. RNAcentral's name for it is "partial 16S ribosomal RNA". It matches the Rfam family "Bacterial small subunit ribosomal RNA", at positions 30 to 526 of the family's 1533-position model. The record is from RNAcentral.
AUUGAACGCUGGCGGCAGGCCUAACACAUGCAAGUCGAACGAGUGGCGGACGGGUGAGUAAUGUCUGGGAACCUGCCCGAUGGAGGGGGAUAACUACUGGAAACGGUAGCUAAUACCGCAUACCAUCGGAUGUGCCCAGAUGGGAUUAGCUAGUAGGUGGGGUAACGGCUCACCUAGGCGACGAUCCCUAGCUGGCCUGAGAGGAUGACCAGCCAAACUGGAACUGAGACACGGUCCAGACGCCUACGGGAGGCAGCAGUGGGGAAUAUUGCACAAGGGGCGCAAGCCGGAUACAGCCAGGCCGCGUGUAUGAAGAAGGCCUUCGGGUUGUAAAGUACUUUCAGCGAGGAGGCGUUACUCGCAGAAGAAGCACCGGCUAACUCCGUGCCAGCAGCCGCGGUAAUUC